This 282-nucleotide unclassified non-coding RNA is filed under the name Mycobacterium simiae. RNAcentral's name for it is "16S-23S ribosomal RNA intergenic spacer". The record is from RNAcentral. Lineage: Bacteria; Bacillati; Actinomycetota; Actinomycetes; Mycobacteriales; Mycobacteriaceae.
AAGGAGCACCACGAGAAACACUCCAAUUGGUGGGGUGUGAGCCGUGAGGGGUUCUCGUCUGUAGUGGACGAGGGCCGGGUGCACAACAACAGGCAAUCGCCAGACACACUAUUGGGCCCUGAGACAACACUCGGCCGACUUCGGUUGAAGUGGUGUCCCUCCAUCUUGGUGGUGGGGUGUGGUGUUUGAGUAUUGGAUAGUGGUUGCGAGCAUCUAAAUGAACGCGUCGCCGGCAACGGUUACGUGUUCGUUUUGUGUAAUUUUUUCUUUUGGUUUUUGUGU